Molecule: ribosomal RNA, 433 nt
Filed under: uncultured bacterium
Lineage: Bacteria
Description: partial 16S ribosomal RNA
Rfam family: Bacterial small subunit ribosomal RNA
Source: RNAcentral
AACGAACGCUGGCGGCAUGCCUAACACAUGCAAGUCGAACGAUCGCUGCGGGGUUGGUGGCGCACGGGUGCGUAACGGGUGGGAACCUGCCCUUAGGUUCGGAAUAACUCAGAGAAAUUUGAGCUAAUACCGGAUAAUAUCUUCGGACCAUAGGUCUAUCGCCUUUGGAUGGGCCCGCGUUGUAUUAGCUAGUGGGGGGGGUAAAGGCCUACCAAGGGUACGAUCCAUACCUGGUUUGUGAGGCUGGGCCGCCACACUGGGGGGGGGACACGGCCCAGACUCCUACGGGAGGCACCAGUGGGGAAUAUUGGCAAAUCGGGGGAAGGCUGAUCCAGCACUGCCGCGUGAGUGAUGAAGGCCUUAGGGUUGUAAAGCUCGUUUACCCGGGAUGAUAAUGACAGUACCGGGAGAAUAAGCCCCGGCUAACUUCGUG